Molecule: RNA transcript, 3397 nt
Organism: Chenopodium quinoa (quinoa)
Lineage: Eukaryota; Viridiplantae; Streptophyta; Magnoliopsida; Caryophyllales; Amaranthaceae
Exons: 3
Source: RefSeq, a predicted model, not a curated record
UGCAUAAUUUAGAUACUGAUAAAUUUGAACUCUAUUAUGAUUGGAAUUAGCCUUAGUUAAUUAGUCAUUUGUGCAUUGGAAUAAAACCAUAGUACAAGGUUAUUUUCUAAUGAGUUGGUCCAUUCUAUUUGAUGAACUAGUGUUCGUUCUCUUCAACACUAUUCUACAUGAUCAAAUUCGUUGAAAACCUUCACCGUACUAUUAUGCUCGAGGAGACUUUAUAAGUAAAUACUUUGCAAAAAGAAGAAUAAAAAAAAAUAAACAAUAAAAAAAAUUAAAAUAGAAAAAGAAAUUAAAAGAAAUCCUUAACCUAUAAAAACACCAAGACACUAAAAAAAUAGAACUCCUUAAGAACAGUGUUCUGCCUAUAUUACCCCUGUAUUUUCUUGGAAUUCCUUAUCUACAGUGGACUCCCUAUAUUGCCCUCUAAUUAAUUUACAUGUACACAUGGGUGGUCUCUCUCCUCAUUUUUCAUUUUCCCUGAUUAACUCUCAGCCUCUCAAAUUUCUCGAGAAAAUGGUAGAUGAAAAAAAUAAGUAAUACUUCGUAUGUUUUCCAAUCACUCAUCUGUUUCUAUUCUCUCCCUUUCUACUCUCUUUCUCUUUCCUCUUCUAUUUUCCUUCCAUUGAAGCUUACUCCAAGUUUUCCAUUGAAGCGUGCUCUGAGCUUUCUAUCCACCAUUGAAGCUAAGGUAAGAUGGAUUAAGUGUGAAUUUUUGUGUAUUUGAAAUUCUGAUUUUAUAAAUUCUAUCAAAUUCUGAUAUUUGUUGAGUUUUUUAAUCUUUACCUACUCGGGAAUUUGCAACGAGUUUAUUGUUAGAUAAGGGUUAGGGCUUUUGUUUAGCAAUUUUUUUGGUGAUGUUCAAUUUGGUGGCGGAUCUGAGCAGCCGCUUCACUAUUUCCUUCAUUUAUCCUCAAAUAAAUCAUCAACCCACCUUAUAUCUGCUCUUUGAAUCAAGAAGUGGAAAGUUGGCUGGUGAAAUGACCCUAUAAUUUCUACUUCGGCUGACGACAGUGACGGCGACGGCGGAGGCGAUGGAGGAGGGUAUAGCAUUGAGAACGUGAAGAGGGCAAAGCUAAAUUCGACGUUAGCUGCAUUGCUCGACGAUCCUAUUCUUGCCGAUGUCCCAAAGAAGCCAUCUUUAUCAGAUGUCCAUACCCUUAUCACCUUAGAGCUCGGCAGUGCCAUGCGCAUCACCAUCCUCAAGCUCGACUCCACCUCAUUUGGUAAUUUUCUUAUUUUAUUCUCUCAGUCAUUUCUACAUGGAACUAAAUUGAAAAUCUUACUGAAACAUGCACCAAUUUAUCUUAAUAAGGGUUAAUGGGAUGAAAUAAUGAUAGUUGAUAUGACAUUUAUUCCAACUACUUAAAAAUAGAAUGGGCUGAUUGAGAAGUUAGGAUUUCCAGCAAUUCAGUUAUUGGAAAAAUGGAUUUGGGAGGACUAAAUUGUUUGUUCCUUUUUUAUGAUGAGCCGCCUAGUUAUUUAGUAGGUCUAUUGUUUUGCAUGCUGUGUAAGAGUGUUUCUCUUUUGCAGCUUCUGCUCAAGUUUUGGGAAGUGGGAUUAAGGUUUUAAAAAAGAUUAAUCUACUGUUUGGUUUGCUCAAGUGUUGGGAACUACGGUUAAGGUUUUAAUUUUAAAAAGAUUAAUCUGUUGUUUGGUUUCAAAUCAAAACAAAAUCAAUUGGCUUUUAUUUCUCAAAUAAGUAUGGCUCUAAUUGUAGAAUUGUUAAUGUAAGAGUGUUUCAGAUCAUUGCAGGAACGUAACCGCUACGUAUUUUGCAGUUUAAUUAUGUACUUUCAGCCUACUUUGCAACUUGAAUCUUAAUUUAGUUAUCCCACUAGAUUCAAAGAUUUUGGACUGAAUUAUUGAAGUAUAGAAUAUAUGGUAGGAUAUUUCAUGAAUAUGGACUUUUCCCGGUGAUUAAAUUCACAAACUUAGAAUGAGGAACAUAGCGGUUGGUGAUAUCAUUAGUAGCAUCAAAUGGGUAUCAGUCAUUGUUUUUUUUCCAAAACUUAAGGAACUUUGUCUACUAUUCAUUUUUUGGCUCCUUGAUUUGAUAGUAUUAGUUUGUCAAAUAGCGUGGUUUAUACUAUCAUUUUUAAUUAAUGUUGCUUCAUUUCAGUAUCCAACAUUGUGACUUUUGUUGGUCUAAAUGGAUGAACAAAAUUCCUUUAUCUUUGUUUGCUCAUUUGGUUUUCCUUUUUUUUCUUUUUUUUGGCAACAUUGAGGCAGCUUCUGCUGAACAUCCCACCACUGAUGUCUUUAUCCAAUUUGUGUCUUAUAUAAGGUUAAUUUCAGUCAUCCUCCGUCUAUUACUUUUUUGUUACUAAGUUGAUAUGUGCUGUGCACAUGUCAAAUUUAGUUUGAAAUUUUGAAUUUGAUCCCUGGAUAAUAAGGUUAGGAAAGAGGAAUAAAAUCAGGAGAUAGCUGUAUUUCCCAACUCUGAUUGUAUAAAGGCAAAAGCUAAACUAUACAAAUAAUAUUUAUGGGUGAUUGUUUCAUAAUUUGGUGAUUAUUUGACCGUUGUGGGUGCUAAAUUAUGAUUCUUGAUAUGAUUUGUGGGAUUAGAUUUUGGUUUAUGUGUUUAUUUGUCUAUGUUUCUGUAAUGCUUUAUUCACUGGGUUUUGUUUAAUUUUUACUGGUUAUUACUCUGAAAUAUUACGGUUUUCAUUAUUUAUGUUAUAGCCCUCUCACAUAUUAACUUAAUGGGAAAUUAUCAAUGGUACACCCAAGGUUCGAGCGUUUAUCAAUGGUACAUCUACUUAACUUAUUGUUUAUCAGCGGUACACCCAAAGUUUCACACACUCCUCUACAGUAAACCUAACGUUAAACAAACGUUAAUUUUGGCUUUUUCGUUUUUUUUUUAACUUAAAAAACUCCCUCCUUUUUUUCCCUCUUGCUUUCCCUCCUUGUUUAUAAACUAACCCACCCACCCAGUCCAAGUGUAUAUAUAGUUUUCCCCCUCUUUUGCAAUUUACUCUUCUCCUUCUCGAAUUUCCCUCUUCACUUUGGUAGGGUUUGUGAAUCAAAUCAGUUAAUCGCAACUGUGACCCCCUCAAGAUAUGCAGAUAUUAAAUCUCAAGCUUUGUUUCAAACCCCGGAAGACCCUACUACAAGUGCAGGUUGUGUGAAUUCUUCAUGUGGGUUAAAGAGGAGCAGAUUGUUACUGACACGGCAGGUAGGGUUGCUAAUACACCUGAAGCUACCGGUGUUCAACUUUUGAGGAGAGACUUCAAUGAGUUCAUGCACAAAACAAAUGAAUUUGCUAACUAUGUUCAUUUUGGUGGUCGAAAUUGUUAUUGUUAUGUAUAUGGUGUUAUUAGUAGUAGCUUUGAAAUAAUGUAAUGAUGUUGUAAUCUUUUAUUUUGAUAUCGAUAAAGCUAAGUAUGUUUUUUUA